GUUGACCUGCGGCGUUCACGGGAGUUGUUCGAUUUAGUGCCGGCGCCAUGGGGUCGGAGCUGAUCGGGCGCCUAGCCCCGCGCCUGGGCCUCGCCGAGCCCGACAUGCUGAGGAAAGCAGAGGAGUACUUGCGCCUGUCCCGGGUGAAGUGUGUCGGCCUCUCCGCACGCACCACGGAGACCAGCAGUGCAGUCAUGUGCCUGGACCUUGCAGCUUCCUGGAUGAAGUGCCCCUUGGACAGGGCUUAUUUAAUUAAACUUUCUGGUUUGAACAAGGAGACAUAUCAGAGCUGUCUUAAAUCUUUUGAGUGUUUACUGGGCCUGAAUUCAAAUAUUGGAAUAAGAGACCUAGCUGUACAGUUUAGCUGUACAGAAGCAGUGAACAUGGCUUCAAAGAUACUAAAAAGCUAUGAGUCCAGUCUUCCCCAGACACAGCAAGUGGAUCUUGACUUAUCCAGGCCACUUUUCACUUCUGCUGCACUGCUUUCAGCAUGCAAGUAGGUAUUUCAUUAAACAUUCAGAAAAGUUACCAAUUUACAAGUGGGUUUUUCAUCCCCAAGGAAUACUUCUAACUUAGUUGAUAUCAAUUCAGAGCAUAUUUUCCCCUAGAAAUAAUAUUAGGAAUAUUGGCCAAGUGACUAUAUUCCCAGUUUAUCCCAUAAUGUAGCUAACAACUUGGAACUAGUGUUGCCAGAAUUCCACUAGCCAAAUAGCAGCUGUAUACAUAUGCUGGGAAUUCUGAUUUCAGUCUGCCUUUUGUAAGAGAUGAUAUCUGUCAUUAAAACAGUCUUCACAUGUGAUUUUUCUGCUCAUAUUUUUUAAAAAGUACUGGUUGGGCCAGGCGUGGUGGCUCCCGCCUGUAAUCCCAACGCUGGGAGGCAGAGGCAGGAGGACUGCUUGAGGCAAGGAGUUCAAGACUAGCCUAGACAGCAUAAUAAGACCCCAAUCUCUUAAGAAAAAAAAAAAAAAAUUAGCUGGGUGUCAGCGCAUGCCUCCAGUCCUGGCUUCUCAUCUACUCGGGAGGCUGAAGCUGAAGGCUCACUGGAGCCUAGGAGUUCUUGGUUAUAGUGAGCUAUGGUCACGCUACUACACUGCAGCCUAGGCAACACAGCAACACUGUC
RNAcentral lists this small RNA (1120 nucleotides) under Pan troglodytes (chimpanzee). Its description in RNAcentral is "retained intron". Lineage: Eukaryota; Metazoa; Chordata; Mammalia; Primates; Hominidae. The record is from RNAcentral.